GUUUUGCCUGCAAAUGUGAACCCUGACCUAAAGACGGCUGCUCAAAAUAGCCCUCAUCCUCUUUGCCUAAGCCUGAUAUGCAAGCUUUUAUCUCAGUUGCCCCUGGUCACCUGCCUUUCUUACUUGACUCUGCAGUUCUCCAGGUGGCUAUUCCUGGAUGGCACUCAUCCAGAAAGGGUCAUUGCUCUUUUUUCUCUUUAUUUCACUACCAGAGAUUAUUUCGAUAACAUUAUGAUUUACAAACCAUAAAAUUCAUACAUUUCAAGUGUACAAUUCAAUGACUUUUUAAUACAUUUACCAGGUUGUGCAACCGUUACUGAAAUCCAGUUUUAGAACAUUUUUGUCAUCCCGGUUAGAUCCUUUAUGCCCAAGUAGUUAAUUACCAUCUUCACCACCAACUCCAGGUACCCACUAAUCUACAUUCUAUCUUUAUAGAACUGCCUUUUCAGGAUAUUUCACUUAAUCAGACUAUACCCAGUCAUUUGUGUCUGGCUUCUUUCACUUAUAAUGUUUUUGAGAUUCAUCCAUGAUAUGGCAUGUCAGUGAUUUUUGUGAUGGUGGGUUCCUGCUGCCCCCACCCCCAAAAUUCCUUAAAGGUGCUAAGCAACCUGCUCUUUGAAUAACCACCCCGCUUUUCCCUAGGCUCUCCUGCUGUCAGUUUCCCACAGUGUUGUCGGCUUUCAUCUCUCAGUGGCUUCACCUGACUGAGCUGCCUGCCAUCUCUAGUGUAUCCUCCAGGCCUCGCCUGGCUCCCUGUUCCCCCCACACUGGCUUCCUGCUCUUCCUCCAAAGGCCUGGCUGGUUCCUGCCUCAGGCUCUGCCCAUUGCUGCUGUCCUCACCAACCCCCAAAACGUUGCCCAUUGUUUGUCCCCUCAUUCCGUUCGGGUCUUUGUCCGAAUGUUGCUUCCUGAAAGAGGCACCCUGACCUCGACUCAAAUAGCAUUCCUUCUCACGGACUAUUCAUUUGCCCCACUUUGUUUCUUCACAGCUCUUUUUAUUCCUGUUUCUUGUUAAUUCCUGAAAUUAUACUUUGUUUAUUAUCUUGUUAAUAGACUCGUGGGUAUCUUAGUCUGUUUAAGCUGCUAUAAGAAAAUACCAUAAACUGGUGGGUUGUCAACAACAGAAAUUGCUCUCUCACAGUCCUAGAGUCUGGGACAUCUAAGAUCAAGGCACUGGCAGAUUUGGUGUCUAAUGAGGGUUGCUUCCUGGUUCAUAGGUGACACCGUCUCCUGUGUCCUCACAUGGUGGAAGGGAUGGGGCGGGGGGGUCUCUCCUUGGGCUCUAAUAUAAAGGCACCAGUCCCAUUCAUGAGGAUUCCGCUCUCAUGACCCAUCGCCUCCUGAAGGCCCUGCCUCCUAAUUCCAUCACUUUGGGAUUUACGAUUUCAACAUAUACAUUUCGGGGAGGACAUAAACACUCAGACAACAGCAGUAAGAGAGCUGUUUCGGCUGGGCAUGGUGGCUCAUGCCUGUAAUCCCAGCAUUUUGGGAGGCUGAGGUGGGUGGAUCACCUGAGGUCAGGAGUUCAAGACCAGCCUGGCCAACAUGGUGAAACCCCAUCUCUACUAAAAAUACAAAAAGAUUAGCCGGGAAUGAUGGUAUGCGCCUGUAAUACCAGCUACUGGGAAGGCUGAGGCAGGAGAAUCACGUGAACCCAAGAGGUGGAGGUUGCAGUAAGCUGAGAUAGCGCCAUUGCACUCCAGCCUGGGCCGUAACAGCAAAACUCCAUCCCAAAAAAAGAGUGCAGUAUCCAAGGCCCAGCUCCUGGGGUUACUGCCCUGCCUGCCCACCUCCUGGCUGGGGAACUUGGACCUUUGCCAAAUGGGGAAAAGGUAUUAUGUGCUUCCUAAGGUUGUGUGAGGACAAACAUUCAUCCACACAGAGUGCUUGCAGCGGGUGGCACAGGGUAAACAUGAGCAAGAUAAUUUACCAUCUGUCUCCUCCCUGGAAUAUCAACUGGAUGAGGGCAGGACAUUUUCUCUCUGCACCUUCAGCCCCUGAGAUAUGGAGGAUGAGAAUGGCUCAAUGUUCCUCCUUCAAGGGCCUCAGUCCUCAUCCCACUGGCCUGACCACCCCAACAGUAUGACCUUUGCCUCUUUACAGCAACCUCCACAGCUUUCCAGCCUGUCCUUAACCUGCCUUUGAGUCUUUGCAACUCCUUCUGGGCAUUAGCUAUGUGGCCUGCUGGGAACUUCCAGAGGCUGGUAAAACUGACAAACCUUGAGAGACUGGUGACAGGCUUCCUUAGUUGAAACUUAUCCUUUUCAAACUUGUAGCACCAUGUGUGUGUAGCUGCUUAAGCUUUAGUGGGAGUAUUUAAGAAACAUGAUUAAUUGGAAAGUUUUAUAAUAUUCCAGGUAAGUCCAUAGUGAACAUAAAUGUGACUUUAUCUUGCUAAGGUAACAAAUGCUCUGGUGUGCUUAGCAGGGCCUUGUGACAAAGCAGUGAGGCCACCUGUGCAACAUGUACAACUUUUUCUUUUUCAAAACAGUCCUAAAAAAACUAAACAUAUAAGUCCUCUGUGAUCGAGCAAUUCCACUACUGGGUAUGAAUCCAAAAGAAAGGAAAUCAGUAUAUCAAAAAGAUAUCUGCACUCCUGUGUCUACUGCAGCACUAUCCACAACAGCCAAGAUAGGGAAUCAACCCACGUGCCCAUCAGCAGAUGAACAGAUGAAGAAAAUGUGGUACAUAUAUACAAUGGAAUAUGAUUUAGCCAUGAAAAAGACUGAGAUCCUGUCAUUUGCAGCAACAUGGAUGGAACUGAAGGUCAAUAUGGUAAGUGAAAUAAGCCAGGCACAGGAAGACAAAUAUCCCAUGUUCUCCACUCAUGUGGGAGCUAAAAAAGCAGGCAGAGAAAGGGAGGAUGAAGAGAUUAAUGCCUACAAAUAUACAGUUUGAAAGAAGACCUAGUGUUAGAUCAGUAGGGUGUCUAUAGUUUACAAUAAUCUACUGUGCAUUUCAAAAUAGCUAGAAGAGAGUAAUCAUAAGAAAGAGCCAAAGGGCAGAGCACAGGAUACAGAAAAGUGGGAUCAAAUAGAGAAGAAUCCCUUAGAGUUCUGGGUAGGAGCCCAAUCUCAAGUCUUAUUUCUAAUGUUUAAAGCUCCCCCUACUCCCCAAAAUACCUUUAGUUGGUGGGAUUAGUUGUCCUGUGAAAAUCUAGACACAAAAAUUAGGUUGGAAAAGAGAACUCGUAACUGGAGGCCAAUCAUGCUAGGCAUUAAAAACGUAUUACUGUAUUCCUCCUCCUCCUCAUCAGUUGCUAAGUGACAUUUGGGAUUUGAACCCAGUCCUGAUAUCUGAAGCUCACACACUACACACUGUAUUUUCUGCUGUAAAGCAGACCUCAGAAAGUAUGGUUAGAUUCUGUGCAACCUUGAAAAUGCUCUGGACUCAGUGGGUCCAACUCAGCUAUUUGUACUUCACACCACACAGCUAGUCUAGGAAAGAGGCUGCCUCUGGCUUGACCAUGCAAAUGUAUUUUCUUUCUUUCCUGCCAUGCUGGUCAGCAGUUACACCAAAGCUAGCUAGUAUCAGUAUCUGAGUAGAUGGUGAUGACGACAGAGUCUCAGCAUGCAACACUAGCUACUGGCACACUUUGUUUCCAGAGGAGUUAUGGUGAAUCUUAUACUCAAUGACAACUGUAUUAUGUACCGUACUAAAUAGUAACGGAAAACAUGAUUCCAGUAGAGAAAAACCAAGCCAUAUAGCUGUCUUUCAAUAUGCUUGGUAUGCAGUGAUAUGCUUGAUAGAAAAUGGUAUGUCUAAUUUUUGACCAUAACUUGAAACGUAGAGAAUGAGAGAGUGCUCUUAAAAGCACAUACAUAUACAACUUGGAAGAUGGGACUUACUUGGAAAAGUACAAAUUAUUGGAAUAAUGAAGUAAUCUUUUAAGCUAUUUUAUAUAAGGUUAAGAUACUAUAUAAAAUAAUAAUUUUUAUCAUAUCAUCUGAUAAAGCAAGACAAAGGAAAAAAAACUGUUUUAAGUUAGAUCAGCAUUUCCCAAACUGAUACUCAAAGGAACAUUGUUUCAUGAAAUGUUAAAAUAUAUGCCUUGAAAAAAAUUUUAUGGAUGAAAGUUUAAGGAAUAGUAUAUCUUAAAAAUCUUGGGGGUGGGCAAACCAAAACUUUUUUUUUUUUUUUUCCAGUAAGUAAGUAUGACUAUUUCUAUUUCCAGGAGUGAUCUAUGCAGGAGAAACAGCUUGGGAAAUGCUGAAAUUUCUGACUGUAAGAAAUGCUUGGAUAUAUGUAUCUGUUUGUUUGGAUAAUUUACUCAUGUGAUCUCUUGGAACCAAGGAUCCUUGGAUCCAAGGAACUCUGAUUUCUAGGAAUACUUUGUAAACAAAUCAAUAUACAAAUAGGUGAAUAAUCUGAAUUUUCCAGCCCAGUGAUUUUUGAAAGGAGGCAUCCAAACCAAAAGAGCCCCAGAUCAGAUUUUUACCCAACUAAGUGGUCAGUGUUUGUUUAUGACAGUGAACCCCCUCUGACAGCUUCAUCACCUCUAACAAACAAACAAACAAGGGAGACAGAGUGGAUGAACAACUUAUUUUCAAAGCUAACAAACAUUCUAUGACUUAACUGCUUGAAAACU
Molecule: long non-coding RNA, 4588 nt
Filed under: Homo sapiens (human)
Lineage: Eukaryota; Metazoa; Chordata; Mammalia; Primates; Hominidae
Description: HSALNT0110836
Rfam family: Metazoan signal recognition particle RNA (bases 1449-1565)
Source: RNAcentral